Molecule: unclassified non-coding RNA, 240 nt
Filed under: soil metagenome
Description: partial contains 5.8S ribosomal RNA, internal transcribed spacer 2, and large subunit ribosomal RNA
Source: RNAcentral
AACAUCGCGCACCUGCGGGAACCUGCGGAAGGAUCAUUACUGAAUAAAAUCUGGUCUGGUUGUGUUGUCGCUGGCCUCCUGGAGGCAUGUGCACACCCUGCCGCCACCUUAUUCAUCCAUCUAUACUUACCUGUGCAUCUCCUUGUAGGAUCAGGAUUUGUAUCACCAUUUCUUCAAACCUUUCCUUCCCUUCUUCAGGAGGGGGGGUUGAGGGAAGGAGAAAAGUGUUUUUGGAAUUUU